This 326-nucleotide ribosomal RNA is filed under the name uncultured eukaryote. Its description in RNAcentral is "partial 18S ribosomal RNA". It matches the Rfam family "Eukaryotic small subunit ribosomal RNA", at positions 1470 to 1796 of the family's 1831-position model. The record is from RNAcentral.
CCCUUAGAUGUUCUGGGCCGCACGCGCGCUACACUGAUGCACUCAACGAGUUUUUCCUGGUCCGAGAGGAAUGGGUAACCUUUUGAAAGUGCAUCGUGCUAGGGAUAGACUAUUGCAAUUAUUGGUCUUCAACGAGGAAUGCCUAGUAGGCGCAAGUCAUCAGCUUGCGUCGAUUACGUCCCUGCCCUUUGUACACACCGCCCGUCGCUCCUACCGAUUGGGUGUGCUGGUGAAAUGUCCGGAUCGGCCGUUUGUCGCGGUUUCCGCGUCAUGUGGCUGAGAAGUUCAUUAAACCCUCCCACCUAGAGGAAGGAGAAGUCGUAACA